UGGGGAAUCAUGGUCAAUGGGCGAAAGCCUGAACCUGCGACGCCGCGUGAGUGAUGAAGGUCGUAAGAUCGUAAAACUCUUUUCAGGGAUCUUAAAGCACAGCUGUCAACAACAGCUGUGUGUGACUCUCCCUGGAAGAAGCCCCAGCCAACUACGUGCCAGCAGCUGUGGUAAUACGUAGGGGGCGAGCGUUAUUCGGAAUUACUGGGUGUAAAGGGUAUGUAGGCGGCCCUUCAAGUCGCGUGUCAAAGUCCAGUGCUCAACGCUGGGUGUGCACGCGAUACUGACGGGCUUGAGGGCUGGAGAGGUGAGCGGAAUUCCCGGUGUAGUGGUGAAAUACGUAGAGAUCGGGAGGAACACCAGCGGCGCAGGCGGCUCACUAGACAGUUUCUGACGCUAAGAUACGAAAGCGUGGGGAGCAAACA
Molecule: ribosomal RNA, 425 nt
Filed under: uncultured prokaryote
Description: bacterial SSU rRNA
Rfam family: Bacterial small subunit ribosomal RNA
Source: RNAcentral